RNAcentral lists this unclassified non-coding RNA (3026 nucleotides) under Leishmania donovani. Its description in RNAcentral is "gene:LdHU3.28.3320(CDS-product:Translation_initia tion_factor_eIF-2B_subunit_epsilon_putative)". Lineage: Eukaryota; Euglenozoa; Kinetoplastea; Trypanosomatida; Trypanosomatidae. The record is from RNAcentral.
UGAUAGCUUCUUUUUUCGUUGCUUUUUCGAAUCAUGGACAUGGCAGCUGUUCGCCGCGGCGUCGUCGAUCGCAGUGAUCGGCAAGGGCCGAAGCUGAUCGCCGUGAUCAUUGGCGAGGCGCUGUUGCCCACACGCCUGCAUGGCGGGCGCGCGACCGUUGUUGGCCCGCUGAGCCCCCUCAGUCCCUCCCCUCGCAUUCCGGCUGCGCUGCUGCCGGUGUGCAAUACCCCCGUCAUCGACUAUGUGCUUGAAAACUUGGUCCUUAACGGGGUGGAUGAGGCGACCAUCCUGCUCAACUCCUCCUCUGCGGCGAAGACGAUUGCGCACCUCUCCGAGUGCCGCACGGCGCGUGGCAAGCCGUGGAUGCUGAGUGACUCCAUAAACGUGACGGUGGUCGAGUGCGCGCGCCGAAUCAGCACGCUGGCGGACGCCGCGGACGAGAUGCGGGAGCGCAACGUCGUUCCGCAAAACGGUUCGUUCCUGCUCGUCCCGAUCGACACGGUGGCCUCCUUCACGAACCUGCGCGCGUGCUAUCAGACACACCUGGAGCGGGUGCGCAAGGUGAGCAAGUACGCCGCAACGUUGCUGUGCGUCUCCUCUCGCUCCGCUCUUGCGGCAGCCCUGCGCAAUUCCUUGAUGAACCACCUCGCUGAAGCAGAGGAGGUGAGCUCUCAGUCCCCCGUAUCCCCGAUCGGCGGCAGUGGCCGCCACGGCGUACUUAGCAUCCGGCAGACGUCGGAGAUGCUGCGCCUUCGCAACUACACGGCCCCGGUGCUUCCGCGGGAGCGCCACACCAUGUUCGUGCUCAACAAGGCAACGCAAGUUGUGACGUACAUGGCGCGCUUCGAAAACGGCGAGGAGGCACCGGAGCCGCCGGCGGUGGCGUUCAGCAGCAGUGCCCCGCAGUCGGUGCGCAUGGACCUCUUGCCGACCGGCUACAUGUUUUGCUGCUGCGAGGCGCUCUCCCUAAUCGAGUUUCACAUUCGCGACCUCUACAGUUUCCUCAGCACAUCUCUGCUAGGCCAGACGGAGAUCUACGGCAACGUCUUCGGUCUCAUCGAGCUACCCUCAUCCUCGGCGGUGCUGGAGCCGAUAAACAGCGCGGAGGCGUACAUCCAGUGCAACCUCGACGUGUGCGCGCGGCGGCUUUUUCCGAUGACGCGGGAGAGCUGCUUUGCCGAGGAGUUGGCCAAGUACGCCGUCUCCUCGACGUGCGAAACUGUCUACCUGCACACGACCGCCAGGUGCGCAAGCAGCAGCCUCAUGGGCCCGAAUGUGGUAGUAGGCGAGGAGGUGAGCGUGCCGGCCUCGGUGGAGCUGGCCGGGACAGUGCUCGGCGCGCGGGUCGAGCUAGGCGAUGAGGCCUCGCUGCGCAGCUGUGUCGUGAUGGAGGGCGCCCGAAUUGGGCGUCGGUGUGUGCUGCACGGGUGCCUGAUCGGGCCCCACGCCGUGAUUGGAGAUGGCGCGGAGCUCUCCUACGUCGUUGUGGGGGAGCGCUGUGUGUUGGACGGGGUAACCAUUAGCGGUGCACCACUCGUUCUGCAGCAUCAGGCGAUCGAGUGCGACGUGGACGAUAUCAGCGGCACAGACGAGGACGGCGUUUCAAGAGGUGACGAGGGCGAGGAGGGGUCGUCUUCCUCAUCUCUCUCCAGCAGCAGCGAGGGCGCCGUAGGCCACAAGACGGACAAGCUGCUCACCGGCGCCAACGGCCGCGGGCACGCGCUUGAGGACCGCUACAGCAGCAACAUUCUCCCAACCAGUGCGCUCUUCACGGAGGACCCGGUGGCGCGCCCGUCGCAGAGCGAUGGCGAGGGUGAAUCCUCUGAGGAGGACGACGAGCAAGUGCUGUUUCGCCGCAGCAUUCAGCGCCACGUCCAGGCGGCGCUCCUGCAACCGUCCCGCAUCGAAUCCAGCAGCUACGACAUGUCCACCAUCUGCCUCUCCAGCGGCUUCGGCUACCCCGAGCUGUGCGAGAUCGUCACGGAGCUGCUCAUGGAGCACCUCCUCAGUACACAUCGCGACGAGUCCCCGGCGAACAUAGUCGAGGCCGCGCGAGAUAUGUUCCACACAUGGUGCCGGCCGUUCUACAGCAACUUCCUGUCCAAGAACCAGCAGCCGAACAUGGACGCGAUGGUCGCGACGCUCGAGGGGCUGUGCGGUGCCAUCGGCGGCGAGAACUGUCCGCUGCGCUGCUACGGCCCGCAGCUCGUGGAGAUUCUCUACUACGGUUGCGACGAUGACCUCUACAAUGAGCGCGGCUACUGCAUUGUGAGCGGCGAGAGCUUGAUCGCCUUCGACGCGGAGAUGGAGCACCGGCGUGAGGUGUUGCAGCGCUACACCGCCUUCAAGGGUGGCCGGGUCAAGAACAGGGGCGCCGCAAGGCUGUCGAGCAGCAACUCCGACACAUCCAGCAGCAGUAGCAGCAGCACCAGUAGCGGCGACGAUGAAGAGUCGCGUGACCUGCACGAGGAAGGCAAGGUGCUGGUCGCCGUCAGCUGCCACGACUUCAUUAUGGGUGUGAAGGACUUCCUCGAGGCUGAGUAGGGUGUCCGUGGGAGGAGUGGGUGGAAGAGGAAGGGCGAGGGGAGCUUCCAGCCCAAAGGGAGGAGGGGGAGAGGCACAAGGCGCACGCGGGCAGCGACGAAGCGGCCCCCGCUCCCCAUCUUUCAGCGUUCUUCCCCCCUCCCCCACACCCUGAGCGCAUAGAAACACAAAGCCAAUAUGGCUUCACAGAGGGCUCGAGUGCACGGAAGUGCUGAUAACGUUGACCACCUGUGCUUUCCCAUUCUCUGCCUCCCCAUGAUCUUCAACCCGUCCUCACGCGCUGGCUCUUUCGCUGAGGCUCCGGGGCUGAGAAGUCAUUUUCUGAUAACGAGCAGCGGAGUGCAUAUGCGUCCACCUUGAACCAUCUAAGCAGGCCGCAAGCGUAAACGUGACGCAGCCUUCUCAUCAAGGGUGGGUGGGUGGAAUCCCAAGAGGUGCUCUGUUUCUCUAUCGGUGUUUUGUGUGUACGAGUGCAUUCCUAG